RNAcentral lists this ribosomal RNA (537 nucleotides) under Sordaria fimicola. RNAcentral's name for it is "eukaryotic LSU rRNA". The stretch from base 194 to 347 matches the Rfam family "5.8S ribosomal RNA". Lineage: Eukaryota; Fungi; Ascomycota; Sordariomycetes; Sordariales; Sordariaceae. The record is from RNAcentral.
UUACAGAGUCGUGCAAAACUCCCACAAACCAUCGCGAAUCUUACCCGUACGGUUGCCUCGGCGCUGGCGGUCGGGAUGGCCCUCGGGCCCCCGGAUCCUCGGGUCUCCCGCUCGCGGGAGGCUGCCCGCCGGAGUGCCGAAACCAAACUCUUGAUAUUUUAUGUUUCUCUGAGUAAACUUUUAAAUAAGUCAAAACUUUCAACAACGGAUCUCUUGGUUCUGGCAUCGAUGAAGAACGCAGCGAAAUGCGAUAAGUAAUGUGAAUUGCAGAAUUCAGUGAAUCAUCGAAUCUUUGAACGCACAUUGCGCUCGCCAGUAUUCUGGCGAGCAUGCCUGUUCGAGCGUCAUUUCAACCAUCAAGCUCUGCUUGCGUUGGGGAUCCGCGUCUGACGCGGUCCCUCAAAAACAGUGGCGGGCUCGCUAGUCACACCGAGCGUAGUAACUCUACAUGGGUAUAGUCGGUGCGGCGGGUUCUUGCCGUAAAACCCCCAAUUUCUAAGGUUGACCUCGGAUCAGGUAGGAAUACCCGCUGAACUU